CACAAUGGCAAGCAAGCAUGAUCAAUAGUAUCCAGCUCUCGGUCAUCAUGUCUAAAAUAUGGAAUAUGUAGCACGACCCCAAAGGUCCAAAUAUAGUAUCAAGUGUCACGGUUUAUCAAUUACUAACCCGAUGUCACUACAUGACGUUUAUAAUUACUAUGCUCAAGUCUCAAUGAGAGUUCACACUUAGUCUAUUCCACUAUAGCUAAGGUAGCCACUUUCUUAUGGUGUAUGCAUAAAUACUACCAAUGAUUUACAAUGCUCAUAAUGCAAGUCAUGCAUAAAUCUCUCUACCAAUGCCUCCACUUUAUGGAGUAUUAAACAAUCAUGCGAAUGCUCUUAUUUCAUAAUGCCAUAUGCAAGUAUUCAAAUAGAAUGAAUGUUCUAAUUUGGUUGCAUAUGGAUCUUACAUGUAUUAUGUCACCCUGACACAACUACUUGUCUACAACAAGUGUGGUAUAUCAUGCAAAUAUUGGCUAAACUUCAUCCUUGCACAUGUCCAAGUCAUGUAGAUAUGCUUUUAAUCUCAAGGUCGACGCCUUGUUAAUUACUAGGUCACAAAGCCCUAUUUCCUUGUCUACACAAGUAUAUUGUUAAUAUGUAAGAUAAUCACUUUACUAAACUCAUAGGUCGAGAUCCCCUAAGGGUCACACCGUCAAUCAUGCUCUAACAUGCCUUCUAGGUUGCAUAAAAGAGAGUUCACCAACUAGCUAAUUCAUGCGCAAGUUCGCGUAAGAGCCUCUACUUCAUAGAGCAUCAAAUUGACUUUACAUAACAUAUAUAUAAUGUGUUCUCAUAAAUUCUAGCAUGUCAUUUAGAGCAUAAUUAAACAACUAAUGUUGUCUUAAAUCCAUAAGGAAAAUAUAGGGGGAGUUCACCAAUUUCGGUGAGGUCAAACCCACCAAAGCUCUCCGGACUCCAUUCGUUUGCACCAACGAAGAUGUCCACUACUCUCCUAGCACCCUAAAGGUAUAGAAAAGAGAGAUA
Molecule: long non-coding RNA, 987 nt
Filed under: Ananas comosus (pineapple)
Lineage: Eukaryota; Viridiplantae; Streptophyta; Magnoliopsida; Poales; Bromeliaceae
Description: long non-coding RNA (ACOM_LNC032677)
Source: RNAcentral